CGCCUGGGGAGUACGGCCGCAAGGUUAAAACUCAAAUGAAUUGACGGGGACCCGCACAAGCGGUGGAGCAUGUGGUUUAAUUCGACGCAACGCGAAGAACCUUACCUGGCCUUGACAUCCAGAGAACUUUCCAGAGAUGGAUUGGUGCCUUCGGGAACUCUGAGACAGGUGCUGCAUGGCCGUCGUCAGCUCGUGUCGUGAGAUGUUGGGUUAAGUCCCGUAACGAGCGCAACCCCUAUCCCUGGUUGCUAGCAGGUAAUGCUGAGAACUCCAGGGAGACUGCCGGUGACAAACCGGAGGAAGGUGGGGAUGACGUCAGGUCAUCAUGGCCCUUACGGCCAGGGCUACACACGUGCUACAAUGGCGCGUACAGAGGGCUGCCAACUCGCGAGAGUGAGCCAAUCCCUUAAAACGCGUCGUAGUCCGGAUCGGAGUCUGCAACUCGACUCCGUGAAGUCGGAAUCGCUAGUAAUCGCGAAUCAGAAUGUCGCGGUGAAUACGUUCCCGGGCCUUGUACACACCGCCCGUCACACCAUGGGAGUGGAUUGCACCAGAAGUAGUUAGUCUAACCUUCGGAAGGACGAUUACCACGGUGUGGUUCAUGACUGGGGUGAAGUCGUAACAAGGUAACCGUA
This 635-nucleotide ribosomal RNA is filed under the name uncultured Marinobacter sp. Its description in RNAcentral is "bacterial SSU rRNA". It matches the Rfam family "Bacterial small subunit ribosomal RNA", at positions 870 to 1504 of the family's 1533-position model. Lineage: Bacteria; Pseudomonadati; Pseudomonadota; Gammaproteobacteria; Pseudomonadales; Marinobacteraceae. The record is from RNAcentral.